CCUGAAUAUCUUGGCCUACAGCACAAAGCAGGACCCGCCUCAACCCAACCCUAGUCCAACAACCAUGUGCACAUAAACAUACAAUCAUAUAACAAUUCACAGUCAACAAGCCGAUCUAGCAGAUCACAUAACAUAUCAUCAUCCUAACCAGGAUACCGACCUAACGGGUCACUAGCAUAGCACCACUCUACAUAACAGGAUACCGACCUUAAACAGGUCUCUAACAUAUACCAUCCUAGCUACCAGGAUGCAAGCAUAUCAAAGCAAUAACAUAACAACAGAUACCCGGAUCUCAAUCCGAUAAAGGGCCGGCCUUGGUGCCAUAGACCCUGUUGAUAUAGUGAGGAUAUCUCACCUCGCACUGCCGAAACUCUGAACCGAAGUAGCAGAUUCUCGAAUUGCUGCCUCACCGAAAAUCCCGAACUAGCCAACAUAGCACAAAUAAUUAUUAGGCUAAGCACAAUGCUCUUUCAAGGGUAAAUUGACCAUUUUACCCUUAACUCAAUCCGGCCCAACACUAGGUAAGCUCCCAAGCCCACCAAUGGCCCAAAGUCCAAAAGUCCGAAGCAAAGCCCACUAUUGGCCCAAUUUACUAAAUUGGGCCCACCUCACCAAAUGGGCCUAAACUCAUGAUCCAUAACAACCAAUGGGCCCACAAUACUCUAACCAUAAUGUCCAGUCACGACCCAAAAUCCAGCAGUCCAAAUAACAGCCCAAUCCCUAAGGCCCAAAAUGAAAACCCAAUAGAGGGAGUACACUGGGCGUACCCUCCCUGGUACGCUGGGCGUACACGCUGAUUCGCGACUGGGGAUUGGGGCGCUGAUCCGCUACGCUAAGCGUACUCGGCGAGUCCCCAAAUUUACACUCCCUCUCGGAGCUACAUUCCUCUUUGGGCGUACUCGGCGAGUCCCCAAAUUUCAUACUUGGCCCUCAUUAUUCCACUUUUCCCACAAGAUGACCAAAAUACCAUUUCUCUUAAAUCACGGGGACUCACGAUUAGGUACUCUUAGGAACGGGGCUUUACAAUUCUCCCCCACUUAAAUUAGGCUUUGCCCUCGAAGCCUUCAGCAACUCUACUCCAGAACUUCUCCUGCAACGCACUACCUGGCAUUAACUAAACCAGGUUCCUCAAGACAGAACCAUCGAAACCUGAAACUCACUUUCUCCUUUCUAGCAGUGUCCUGACUACCGUCUCAAGCAGGCCACCGGCUUCACCCUUUGAUAUCCACACUUAUCAGUUUCUACACUUAUGAACCGAGUACCACUCCAUGGCACUUUCUCGAUCCUGAUCACAACAAUCACUUGACUCUUACGAGCUAGAUAUAACCCUGAACCACCAGGUUCCCGAUCUGAGUCCAACUCCAUCCAUUCCAUGCUGACAUAAUGACACAUUCUUCAGCCUCAGAGCAACUCCCAUGAGUUCUCGUCUUGCAAUCGCAUGCACAUGCUGCACUAGCUCUAACACCCUCGGGUUAGGAAAACCCGUCACACUGACGACACCUCCAAACAUCCCCCAGGAUGAACCACCACUACAUACACAAUUCCUUGAUCAGAAUCAAACUGGGAGUCCAAGACUCCAUCCCUGCAUCCCUUCCGAGCCUCUUGGCUCUACACCCAUGGAAUUCCUUCCGCGACCUCAGCAGACAUCCAAUCCGGAUGUGAUCCCAUACCACUGCCACAAUCACGCUGCUCAAUGACUAUAAUUGGACCACUCCAAUCAUAACUCUGCGCUGCUGCUUUCACUUAUAUGAAUUUACACUCCCUCUCGGAGCUACAUUCCUCUCUCUUUCCUUACCAAGGAAAUCCACUUGGCCGCCUUGUCACUACGACAAGUGCCACGGUGCUCGCCCAACGCUACACCACUCCUUUAUAGCAUAACCGCUAUCCAUGCAACACACAUGCUCUGAAUCUGCUCGCAAGAACUCUCGAGUCCAUGUACCAUCUCCACUAAUCAAGAUCAAUACCCGAGGGCCAGACCCUCUAAUGCUAACACAUCGCAACAUACUCAAUCCAUUUCCUCGAACCGAUCUAACAAUACCUGCAGUGUCUUCAACAUGAUUGGACCGCCUUACCAGGCCUUCAGCCAAUCUGGACCACUCUCAAAACCUUCAGCCAAUCUGGACCGCCCUCCAGGGCCUUCAGUCUGGCUGGACCGUUCUCUGAGCCUUCGGCCUGACUGGUACGCCUACCGGCCUUUAGUCUAUCCGGACCGCUCAAGUAGCAUUCAUCAUUCCGAGUUAUCUCUCCAGGAAAUCCUCCCAUGCAUACUGUUCUAGCCCUCUAGGGGUUCCGAACUCUAUUUCCAUCACACAAACUCAAUCCCGGCCUGAUCCCAGGCCCUCCACAAUCAAGUACCCUUGGUCUACAUCCCACCCCGCAUGCCUGCCACUUACUUAUACCAGCCUACGCUCUUGGCUGACAGAACUCUGCUGAAUCCCAAACAGCUAAACAACCUCACAUGCUCAUCGAUCUUCCGGAGAAUUUUCCAAUUCUCCCCCACUUAUAGCACUGACUAUCAAUCACCGGUCGCCAUCACCGACCUCCUUCAACAACCUUACACAACACAAUCACUUACACACGAACUGCAACCCGCAAGCACGAGCAACCUUCACAAAAUCACAUAUCAACACUGAUCAUCCCGAACUCGAAAGAAACUCAAUCUGCAACUAACCACUCCUCAGAAUGCAGAUGCUACCCAACCUUCAAACCAGAAGCCAGAUUUCCACUAAUAAUCCCCAUGAAUGAUAACCAAUGAAAUUCCCAACACUAACUCAUAACCAUACCAUAACCCUCAAAGAACAACGAAUACCACACUAAAAACCACAUAAUGAGACAAGCAGAUAAAUAAUACUCCACAAAUAUCACAAGGUAACAAGACAUGAAGAAAGAAACAUACCCGCGGCUGCAUCCGACACUGCUCUGACCUCUUCUGUUGUAAGCUGGAAAGCACGACCCUGUGCCCUUGGGGGCUCCGCUCCACCCUGACCUCCACCCGUGAUCCUCAAAGUGGUCGGUGCUGGAGCCGGCACCGGUCCUGCAGUAAGCUGUGUACAGUUGACCCUCAAGUGCCCAACCUGAUGACAAUGAUAACAAAUCCUCAAAUCCCGAACCGACGCUGACUGCCGACAAUCCCUCGCAUAGUGCCCCUCCUUUCCGCACUUGCGGCAUGCACCACCGGACCUACAAACUUCGGUGUGACCCCUCCCACACUUCCCACAAGCAUGGAUGCUCUGAUCUCCCACCCUAGAAUCAAUGUUGGACCGUUUCGGCGCUGGCUGCGACUGCACCAGAGCCUGCCUCAGCUCGCGCAACUACAACUCAAUCUCUAACUCACGCCGCUUGGCGGUCUCCUGCAAGUCCAACAAAGUCUCGCACCUCUGCGAAGACACAAACUGUCUGAUAUCCCUUUUGAGCAUACUCAGAUAUCGGGUCAUCUGAGCCUGCUCCGAAGCGAACUCAGGGAAAAACAUCGCUCUCUCAGUGAACAUCCUGGUGAUCUCAGUCACCGACUCCGAAUCCUGCUUCAGCUCAAGGAACUCCUGAGCCAAUCUCUCCUUCUCAACCCGCGGAACAUAACGAGUGCUGAACAUUUCUCUGAACUGAUCCCAUGAAACCGCAUCCCUUUGCGCAUCCGAAUAUGACCCUGUGGUCAAUCUCCACCAAUCCUUCGCCCCGAGCCUCAACAGGUUCAGAGCACACCUCACCCUCUGAUCAGCAGGGCAUGAACACGUGAAGAAACACCCCUCCACGUCCGACAACCAUAUCAUAGCAACAAUCGGGUCCUGAACUCCAUAAAAGGUAGGAGGCUUCGUAUUAUCGAAGUCCCGAUACUGAAAACCCCGACCAACUCCUCCCAUGCCGCUGCUACAGCCGCUAUAGCCGCCACAGCAACCGUCUCUGUGAGAGCUGCAUAGCGCUCAUCAAAAUACUCAACCAUGGCGGUCUUGAUCGACCCAAAUAGUUCCGACAACUCGACCCGGAACAACACAGCAACCUCAUCAUGCAGGAUCUCACGAAUCCUAGCAUCUAACUCGCCUGUGCUCAUCUGACCCACAGCCUUGGGCAGUACUGACCCGCCCGGAACUCCCUCUCCUGCUCCCGAUCAUGACCCGGAUCCACUCCCAGCAUGCCUCGGAAUCUCCAUACUGAAAAACACCACAAGAUCUCAGAUUCUUACCACUAUCCAGGGAACCAACUCUCAAUCCAACCCUAGAGGUCAUGGUUUCCCUGAUACGCGUAUGGGUCCUGUGCUUUCAGUAGUACGGGCCCAUACUACCUUCCACACCUACCCAUAUUUGUAUGAAGUACUACCACAACACCCUAGUGAAAACAUACAUAACAAACGCUCAACCCUCACUUCUAGAGGAACACUAGAAAUCUCCCACGAUGAAACCCUAGGCUAACAUGCAUCAUAAAUCAGGCAACAUUAUCAUGAAAUCCUGAAGAUCCCUAGCCUAGUACUAGCAUGCUGUUUUAUCAAAGCUCAAAAACAAAUAUCAUGUAUGGUAUUUUGGGGUUACUUACUGGCUCCAACUGAUUGUACCUCCACGUCCUCCUUUACCCAUUUUGAAAACCAUUUUAAAUUCUCUUUUGAAAACCCUCCUCGAUUUGAGACUGGAGUAACACGAGUAUUCCUCCAAUUCACUCAAACCAAGGCUCUGAUACCAACUUGUAACGACCAAAAAAUUCCAACCAAUUUAAACUUUUCAAAAACAACCCGAUUUCAUUAAAUUAUUACAAAAAGGUUUUCAAUACAAUUAAUUUAGAGUAUUCCCAGAAUCACAUCACAACAUAAACAUGAGGAGCGGUACGAUCACGCCUUCGCCUUGCCACGGUCUCCUGAAGAACCUGAAAAACAUUAAACCACAACUGUAAGCCCGAAAGCUUAGUGAGAUAUCCCAAAAAUACCAACCACAUAUACCAUACACGCAUAACAUGCCAUAUCAUAUCCGAUCACAGAACAGCCAUGCACUUCGGGUCUACUGUGUGACUGGUCCGCCACACCGGCCAACAGUCCACCUAGUCCACCCUCCGAGUCUAGCCAUAUACAUCGAGUCUGCAGUGUGAUUGGUCCGCCCGCUCCGGGCCUUCAAUCCACCUGGUCCACUCUCUGAGUCUACAGUAUGACUGGUUCGCCCGCACCGGGCCUUCAGUCGGCCUGGUCCACUCUCCGUGCCUCAGCACGUCUUGUCCGCCCUCUUGGGGCCUACAAUAUAUCCGGACCGCUCGCUGGGCCUUCGGGACAACCGGUCCGCCCUGGGUAUCUUGGCCUACAGCACACAGCAGGACCCACCUCAACCCAACUCCAGUCCAAACAACCNAUACAAUCAUAUAACAAUUCACAGUCAACAAGCCGAUCUAGCAGAUCACAUAACAUAUCAUCAUCCUAACCAGGAUACCGACCUAACCGGUCACUAGCAUAGCACCACUCUACAUAACAGGAUACCGACCUUAACCAGGUCUCUAACAUAUACCAUCCUAGCUACCAGGAUGCAAGCAUAUCAAAGCAAUAACAUAACAACAGAUACCCGGAUCUCAAUCCGAUAAAGGGCCGGCCUUGGUGCCAUAGACCCUGUUGAUAUAGUGAGGAUAACUCACCUCGCACUGUCGAAACUCUGAACCGAAGUAGC
This 5630-nucleotide long non-coding RNA is filed under the name Lactuca sativa (garden lettuce). RNAcentral describes it as "long non-coding RNA (LSAT_LNC002316)". The record is from RNAcentral. Lineage: Eukaryota; Viridiplantae; Streptophyta; Magnoliopsida; Asterales; Asteraceae.